RNAcentral lists this ribosomal RNA (468 nucleotides) under uncultured bacterium. Its description in RNAcentral is "partial 16S ribosomal RNA". It matches the Rfam family "Bacterial small subunit ribosomal RNA", at positions 28 to 507 of the family's 1533-position model. The record is from RNAcentral.
GACGAACGCUGGCGGCGUGCUUAACACAUGCAAGUCGAACGGAAAGGCCCUGCUUUUGUGGGGUGCUCGAGUGGCGAACGGGUGAGUAACACGUGAGUAACCUGCCCUUGACUUUGGGAUAACUUCAGGAAACUGGGGCUAAUACCGGAUAGGAGCUCCUGCUGCAUGGUGGGGGUUGGAAAGUUUCGGCGGUUGGGGAUGGACUCGCGGCUUAUCAGCUUGUUGGUGGGGUAGUGGCUUACCAAGGCUUUGACGGGUCGCCGGCCUGAGAGGGUGACCGGCCACAUUGGGACUGAGAUACGGCCCAGACUCCUACGGGAGGCAGCAGUGGGGAAUAUUGCACAAUGGGCGGAAGCCUGAUGCAGCAACGCCGCGUGCGGGAUGACGGCCUUCGGGUUGUAAACCACUUUCGCCUGUGACGAAGCGUGAGUGACGGUAAUGGGUAAAGAAGCACCGGCUAACUACGUG